Molecule: long non-coding RNA, 770 nt
Filed under: Mus musculus (house mouse)
Lineage: Eukaryota; Metazoa; Chordata; Mammalia; Rodentia; Muridae
Description: predicted gene 20544
Source: RNAcentral
AGUUACUGCCACCCUCUCCCAGGUCUAGAGAGGGGUACCCACGGUGGAGGGAGGUGGGAGGCCGAGACGGCCCCGGGGGUCGGCGGAGACCCAGCGGGAGCAGGGGGAAAUCGGAAGAGCUGGGGGCAUGGAGCGGGCGAGUUUGGAGCGGAAUGAGCCGGGAGCCCUACGUUGUGGAAGGAAGACAACAGUAUAGGACCAUCAGCAGGACCGGACAGAGAGGGGCACCUGCUGUCUCUGGACCAUCACAGAAGUGCUAACUGCUGGGCCCUGUGGUGCACAGUUCAAGAGGACCCUAACAUCUGCUCUGCACUGUCACAUGGGCUUGGUCUCCUUAUCUCCACCAACUGCACCUCUGCGCAGAGGACAGGAAGGGGCCAAGCAGUACCCCCCUGAGGGCCUAGGAGGCAAGAGGAGAUGAAGGAAAGGCUGAAGAACUGGGUGUGCCCCAGAGGAUUUCACAGGACAGUGUCUUCUUGCGGGAUACACACUAGGAGCUAAACAUCUGUUGCCUGUACGAGAAUGAUAACUAGUCCACGAACAGCUUCCUGAUGCAUCCUGGGAGGUCUUGGCAGAGCCAUUCAGGGUCACCGUGUUAUCCAGAAAUGGCAGCCACUGGCUACGCGUGACGGGUCAAAUGUACAUGAACGCCUUGGACUCUGCCUUCCAGAUACAGAAUCCUAGCAGAGGGGCUGUCUCAGUGGGGAGGAGUGCUGACUGGAAAAAUGAGAGUCUGAGUUCAAAUUUCUAGAAAUUGUGCUUAAUAAGAA